RNAcentral lists this ribosomal RNA (545 nucleotides) under Pelates quadrilineatus (fourlined terapon). RNAcentral's name for it is "partial 16S ribosomal RNA". It matches the Rfam family "Bacterial large subunit ribosomal RNA", at positions 1857 to 2604 of the family's 2925-position model. Lineage: Eukaryota; Metazoa; Chordata; Actinopteri; Centrarchiformes; Terapontidae. The record is from RNAcentral.
GCCUGCCCUGUGACUAUAUGUUUAACGGCCGCGGUAUUUUGACCGUGCGAAGGUAGCGUAAUCACUUGUCUUUUAAAUGGAGACCCGUAUGAAUGGCACGACGAGGGCUUAACUGUCUCCUUUCUCAAGUCAAUGAAAUUGAUCUCCCCGUGCAGAAGCGGGGAUAACACCAUAAGACGAGAAGACCCUAUGGAGCUUUAGACACAAGGCAGAUCAUGUUAAACACCCCUAAAUAAAGGACUAAACCCCCUGAACUCCUGCCCUAAUGUCUUUGGUUGGGGCGACCACGAGGAAAAAGAACCCGCGUGCGGACUGGGGGUUUACCCCUAUUACCAAGAGCUCCCGCUCUAAUGAUCAGAAUUUCUGACCAAACAGAUCCGGCAUAGCCGAUCAACGGACCGAGUUACCCUAGGGAUAACAGCGCAAUCCUCUCUAAGAGUCCAUAUCGACGAGGGGGUUUACGACCUCGAUGUUGGAUCAGGACAUCCUAAUGGUGCAGCCGCUAUUAAGGGUUCGUUUGUUCAACGAUUAAAGUCCUACGUGAU